RNAcentral lists this long non-coding RNA (874 nucleotides) under Medicago truncatula (barrel medic). RNAcentral describes it as "lncRNA gene27183". The record is from RNAcentral. Lineage: Eukaryota; Viridiplantae; Streptophyta; Magnoliopsida; Fabales; Fabaceae.
UCUCUCUCUCUCACCACUUUUAAGUUUUAUCUUCACUUCCUCAUUCUCUCCUACUUUAUGCAAUAAAACAUCCAAAACAACAACAACGAUUAAGAUUUAGCUUCUUUGAGGAUCAAGUUCCCAAAACAACAACGACUAUGAAGAUGUCGUAAUUUUGAAGGAGCAAAAAACUUCAUCACUGAGAUCGAAAAUAACCACUUCGUGAUUGUUAAAUCCUACACCCCUGAUGUUGUCACAGUAACGUCAAGUUGUUUGUGUACGCCGCCGUCGCCGCCGAGUUGAAAAGAGACGGUGUAUAGUAUAGUUUUGGCCAUGUUGAAUGCUUUGAAGGAAAAUUAGUUCAUCAGUACCUUUAACAGGAAAUAGAACCCGCAUGAAAAUUAAUUAACAUAGCAUGAAAGAGAUGCAUAAAUUAAGGUUGAGAAAUUUAUUACUGACGUUGUUCCUCUACAUAGAUCUGUUAAGGAAGGAGAUUUUUGGGUUCUAAGAGAAGGAACAUGUUUGUUUUGUUUGGACGAGAACGAAGGCAAGCUAAUUUCUUUUUUAAUUAAAAAAAAUGGGAAAGUGCAGCGCGUGGUAAAUAGUUGUAUUCACGCGUCCGUGAAAUUUCGUUGUGAAACUGCCGUACCAAAUAGCAUUCCUGAAAAUAAUAUUCGCAAUGACCAAAACAAAAAGAGAUUUAACGUAUUCAUUGUCAUUAAAAUUUGUCCUCGUGAGCUUAGCUCAGUUGGUAUGAACUUCGAGAGGUUAUCCUUUCUUUCGUGCUUUGAUCUUAGCUGGUGGAAGUAGAGUGGCUAUUUGCUCCUGACCAUUCAAAGUAGUCAUUCUUGAAAAACAAUGCAUGGCAUGCUCUGCAUUCAUGUCCUCAUAUUUG